Molecule: ribosomal RNA, 370 nt
Filed under: uncultured organism
Description: bacterial LSU rRNA
Rfam family: Bacterial large subunit ribosomal RNA
Source: RNAcentral
CUUGACUGUAUCUUGGAAUUGGGUUCGGGCUUUUCUUGCGCAGUCUAGGUGGGAGGCAUUGAAGAUUUCCUUCUGGGGAAGUUGGAGCCGUCAGUGAGAGACCACUCUGGAGAGGCUAGAAUUCUAAUGGUGAUCCUUUUUAUCAGGACGCUUAACAUUUUCAGGUGGGCAGUUUACUUGGGGCGAGUGCCUCACAAAAGGUAACUGAGGCGCGCAAAGGUUCCCUCAGUCUGGACGGAAAUCAGACUUUAGAGUGUAAAGGCAAAAGGGAGCUUGACUGUAAGACCUACAAGUCAAACAGGGGCGAAAGCCGGCCUUAGUGAUCCGACGGUUCCGAGUGGAAGGGCCGUCGCUCAACGGAUAAAAGUUA